UUUAUGGAGAGUUUGAUCCUGGCUCAGGAUGAACGCUGGCGGCGUGCCUAAUACAUGCAAGUCGAGCGAACGGACGAGAAGCUUGCUUCUCUGAUGUUAGCGGCGGACGGGUGAGUAACACGUGGAUAACCUACCUAUAAGACUGGGAUAACUUCGGGAAACCGGAGCUAAUACCGGAUAAUAUUUUGAACCGCAUGGUUCAAAAGUGAAAGACGGUCUUGCUGUCACUUAUAGAUGGAUCCGCGCUGCAUUAGCUAGUUGGUAAGGUAACGGCUUACCAAGGCAACGAUGCAUAGCCGACC
This 302-nucleotide ribosomal RNA is filed under the name Staphylococcus aureus. RNAcentral describes it as "partial 16S ribosomal RNA". It matches the Rfam family "Bacterial small subunit ribosomal RNA", at positions 1 to 292 of the family's 1533-position model. The record is from RNAcentral. Lineage: Bacteria; Bacillati; Bacillota; Bacilli; Caryophanales; Staphylococcaceae.